GACGAACGCUGGCGGCGUGCUUAACACAUGCAAGUCGUACGGUAAGGCCCUUUCGGGGGUCCACGAGUGGCGAACGGGUGAGUAACACGUGAGUAACCUGCCCACAACUUUGGGAUAACGCUAGGAAACUGGUGCUAAUACUGGAUAUGUUCUCCUGCUGCAUGGUGGGGGUUGGAAAGCUCCGGCGGUUGUGGAUGGACUCGCGGCCUAUCAGCUUGUUGGUGGGGUAGUGGCCUACCAAGGCGGCGACGGGUAGCCGGCCUGAGAGGGUGACCGGCCACAUUGGGACUGAGAGACGGCCCAGACUCCUACGGGAGGCAGCAGUGGGGAAUAUUGCACAAGGGGCGCAAGCCGGAUGCAGCAACGCCGCGUGCGGGAUGACGGCCUUAGGGUUGGAAACCGCUUUCAGCAGGGACGAAGCUUUUUGUGACGGUACCUGCAGAAGAAGCACCGGCUAACUACGUG
RNAcentral lists this ribosomal RNA (465 nucleotides) under uncultured bacterium. Its description in RNAcentral is "partial 16S ribosomal RNA". It matches the Rfam family "Bacterial small subunit ribosomal RNA", at positions 28 to 507 of the family's 1533-position model. The record is from RNAcentral.